CUGAGUUCCUCUUAGGAAACCAGAAGUUUGGGGCGCCUCCUUUCCGCCUCGUGAGGUAGAGGGCUGGCCUGCGCCUGCGCCUGCCAUCAUUUUGGUUUGUUAAGCAAGGCAGAGCAUGAGCGAGUCGGUGGGACGCACCUCCGCGAUGCAUCGGCUGCAGGUAGUGCUGGGCCACCUGGCCGGCCGACCCGAGUCGAGCUCCGCGCUGCAAGCCGCGCCCUGCUCCGCUAGCUUCCCGCAGGCUUCGGCCUCCGACGUGGUGGUGGUGCACGGACGGCGCACCCCCAUCGGCCGCGCGGGCCGCGGCGGCUUCAAGGACACCACCC
RNAcentral lists this long non-coding RNA (326 nucleotides) under Rattus norvegicus (Norway rat). RNAcentral describes it as "long non-coding RNA NONRATT028149". Lineage: Eukaryota; Metazoa; Chordata; Mammalia; Rodentia; Muridae. The record is from RNAcentral.